This 503-nucleotide ribosomal RNA is filed under the name uncultured bacterium. Its description in RNAcentral is "partial 16S ribosomal RNA". It matches the Rfam family "Bacterial small subunit ribosomal RNA", at positions 30 to 523 of the family's 1533-position model. The record is from RNAcentral.
AUUGAACGCUGGCGGCAGGCUUAACACAUGCAAGUCGAGCGGGGUGAUGGUGCUUGCACUAUCACUUAGCGGCGGACGGGUGAGUAAUGCUUAGGAAUCUGCCUAUUAGUGGGGGACAACAUCUCGAAAGGGAUGCUAAUACCGCAUACGUCCUACGGGAGAAAGCAGGGGAUCACUUGUGACCUUGCGCUAAUAGAUGAGCCUAAGUCGGAUUAGCUAGUUGGUGGGGUAAAGGCCUACCAAGGCGACGAUCUGUAGCGGGUCUGAGAGGAUGAUCCGCCACACGGGGACUGAGACACGGCCCAGACUCCUACGGGAGGCAGCAGUGGGGAAUAUUGGGCAAUGGGGGGAACCCUGAUCCAGCCAUGCCGCGUGUGUGAAGAAGGCCUUAUGGUUGUAAAGCACUUUAAGCGAGGAGGAGGCUCUUUUAGUUAAUACCCAAGAUGAGUGGACGUUACUCGCAGAAUAAGCACCGGCUAACUCUGUGCCAGCCGCCGCCGUAA